GUAACAAGGUUUCCGUAGGUGAACCUGCGGAAGGAUCAUUACCGAGUUGAGCGCUGCCCACGCCACUCGUAAAACAUUUUUUCCAAGUCUUCCCUUCGGGAUGACUUCGGAUAGAGGACGCACCCGCCGCGGCUUGCCCGCGGUGGCUUCCUGUGCCCUUAUACGGGGUGCGUCCCAGCCCGCGUCGGCUGUUACGGUGCCGUCGGGCGAUCUGUUGAGACUGUGACGGCUACAGGUACCUACCCCUCACAACGCCUCUUGCGCGAGGGGAGACCCGGCAGAAAUGUCGGGCAGGUAUUAAAUGACACCCGCCUGUAGUACGUUCAAGCUAACAAAAAAUCCGUAAGUUGUUCGUCUUCGACGAUACAACAGCGUUGUCACUAGACAGCAAGCAUAUUGGUAACGAAAACCCCAUUAUGAAUGUGAAUUGCGGGCUGAGAAGCCACGCAAAUAAUGUAUGACAACCCUGAACGGUGGAUCACUCGGCUCGUGGGUCGAUGAAGAACGCAGCAAAUUGCGCGUCGACAUGUGAACUGCAGGACACAUGAACAUCGACGUUUCGAACGCACAUUGCGGUCCAUGGAUUCCGUUCCCGGACCACGCCUGGCUGAGGGUCGGUUGCUAAAACUGGACGACGACGUUUGUCGUCGUCCGAUGUUGGGAGCGUCGCGGCACUGUCGCGUCUCCUGAAAUACUGUGCGAGCUUCCGUAGCGGCCCGUCUACUCGUUGUGGGUCUACAGCACUUCCGGGGGGUUCCCCGCGUCGCGUCGCCUAACAGUCGUUACGCUGGCGGCACGCACGGGCCCCGGAGUCCCCACCGCGGCGGGUUUCAACCGCUUCUGCAAGUCUCUGCACGAUAACUCUGGUAACGCUUUAACGACCUCAGAGCAGGUGAGACUACCCGCUGAAUUUAAGCAUAUCAU
This 924-nucleotide ribosomal RNA is filed under the name Troglophilus gajaci. Its description in RNAcentral is "eukaryotic LSU rRNA". The stretch from base 463 to 617 matches the Rfam family "5.8S ribosomal RNA". The record is from RNAcentral. Lineage: Eukaryota; Metazoa; Arthropoda; Insecta; Orthoptera; Rhaphidophoridae.